GACGAACGCUGGCGGCGUGCCUAAUACAUGCAAGUCGAACGAAGCUGUUUUAACUGGUGCUUGCACCGACUUAAACAACUGAGUGGCGAACGGGUGAGUAACACGUGGGUAACCUGCCCCAAAGCGGGGGAUAACAUUUGGAAACAGAUGCUAAUACCGCAUAACCACAGAAACCACAUGGUUUCUGUGUCAAAGAUGGUUUCGGCUAUCACUUUGGGAUGGACCCGCGGCGUAUUAGCUAGUUGGUAAGGUGAUGGCUUACCAAGGCAAUGAUACGUAGCCGAACUGAGAGGUUGAACGGCCACAUUGGGACUGAGACACGGCCCAAACUCCUACGGGAGGCAGCAGUAGGGAAUCUUCCACAAUGGACGAAAGUCUGAUGGAGCAACGCCGCGUAAGUGAAGAAGGUUUUCGGAUCGUAAAACUCUGUUGUCAGAGAAGAACGUGUGCGAGAGUAACUGUUCGUGCAGUGACGGUAUCUGGCCAGAAAGCCACGGCUAACUACGUGCCAGCAGCCGCCGCCG
This 524-nucleotide ribosomal RNA is filed under the name uncultured bacterium. RNAcentral's name for it is "partial 16S ribosomal RNA". It matches the Rfam family "Bacterial small subunit ribosomal RNA", at positions 28 to 523 of the family's 1533-position model. The record is from RNAcentral.